CCUACGGGUGGCAGCAGUGGGGAAUAUUGCACAAUGGAGGGAACCCUGAUGCAGCGACGCCGCGUGAGUGAAGAAGGAUCUAGGUAUGUAAAGCUCUAUUAGCAGGGAAGAAAAUGACGGUACCUGAAUCAGAAUCCCCGUCUAACUACGUGCCAGCAGCCGCGGUAAUACGGAGGGGGCAAGCGUUAUCCGGAUUUACUGGGUGUAAUGGGAGCGUAGACGGCAGCACAAGUCUGGAGUGAAAUGCCGGGGCUUAACUCCGGAACUGCCUUGGAAACUGUGCAGCUAGAGUGUAGUAGAGGUAAGCGGAAUGCAUAGUGUAGCGGUGAAAUGCGUAGAGAUUAUGAAGAACACCAGUGGCGAAGGCGGCUUACCGGACUAUUACUGACGUUGAGGCUCGAAAGCGUGGGGAGCAAACAGGAUUAGAUACCCCUGUAGUC
RNAcentral lists this ribosomal RNA (440 nucleotides) under uncultured bacterium. RNAcentral's name for it is "partial 16S ribosomal RNA". It matches the Rfam family "Bacterial small subunit ribosomal RNA", at positions 338 to 795 of the family's 1533-position model. The record is from RNAcentral.